CGUGUAGGCGGGGGAAUGUGUCGGAAGUGAAAUCGUGCGGCUUAACCGUAUCAAUGGCUUCCGAAACUGUUCCUCUUGAAUGCAGCAGAGGCAGAUGGAAUUCCAGGUGUAGCGGUGGAAUGCGUAGAUAUCUGGAAGAACACCGGUGGCGAAGGCGGUCUGCUGGGCUGUGAUUGACGCUGAGGCGCGAAAGGUGCGGGGAGCAAACAGGAUUAGAUACCCUGGUAGUCCGCACCGUAAACGAUGGUUACUAGUUGUCGGAGGAUUCCGACCCCUUCGGUAACGACGCUAACGCAUUAACGUAACCCACCGUGGGGAGUACGCUCGCAAGGGUGAA
Molecule: ribosomal RNA, 337 nt
Filed under: uncultured bacterium
Lineage: Bacteria
Description: bacterial SSU rRNA
Rfam family: Bacterial small subunit ribosomal RNA
Source: RNAcentral